Molecule: transfer RNA, 73 nt
Filed under: uncultured Prosthecobacter sp.
Lineage: Bacteria; Pseudomonadati; Verrucomicrobiota; Verrucomicrobiia; Verrucomicrobiales; Verrucomicrobiaceae
Rfam family: tRNA
About the family: Transfer RNA (tRNA) molecules are approximately 80 nucleotides in length. Their secondary structure includes four short double-helical elements and three loops (D, anti-codon, and T loops).
Source: RNAcentral
GGGGCAUUAGCUCAGUUGGUAGAGCGCUUGCAUGGCAUGCAAGAGGUCAGCGGUUCGAACCCGCUAUGCUCCA